AGUUCGAUCCUGGCUCAGAUUGAACGCUGGCGGGAUGCUUUACACAUGCAAGCUCGUCUGGCAGCACGGACUUCGGUCUGGUGGGCGAGUGGCGGAAUGGGUGAGUAAUGUAUCGAAACGCCCAUGGGGAUAACUACGCGAAAGCGUAGCUAAUACCGGGCAUACGCCCUUCGGGGGAAAGCGGGGGACCUUUCGGGCCUCGCACUAUUAGAGCGGCCGAUAUCGGAUUAGCUAGUUGGUGGGGUAACGGCUCACUGGCUAUGACGAUCCGUAGUCGGUUUGAGAGGACGACCAGCCACACUGGGACUGAGACACGGCCCAGACUACGGAGGCAGAAAAUUUUGGACAAUGGGGGAAACCCUGAUCCAGCCAUCCCGCGGUGUGCGAUGAAGGCCUUCGCUGUAAAGCACUUUUGGCAGGAAAGAAACGGCACGGGAUAAUACCCCGUGCAACUGACGGUACCUGCAGAAUAAGCACCGGCUAACUACGUGCCAGCAGCCGCGGUAAUACGUAGGUGCGUUAAUCGGAAUAUUGCUAAAGUGUGGUGCAGGCGGUUCGGAAAGAAAGAUGUGAAAUCCCAGAGCUUAACUUUGGAACUGCAUUUUUAACUACCGAGCUAGAGUGUGUCAGAGGGAGGUGGAAUUCCGCGUGUAGCAGAAAUGCGUAGAUAUGCGGAGAACACCGACGGCGAAGGCAGCCUCCUGGGAUAACACUGACGCUCAUAUCGAAAGCGUGGGGAGCAAACAGAUUAGAUACUCCGGGCAUCAUUCAAACGAUGUCAACUAGCUGUUGGGGCCUUCGGGCCUUGGUAGCGCAGCUAACGCGUGAAGUUGACCGCCUGGGGAGUACGGUCGCAAAGAUUAAAACUCAAAGGAAUUGACGGCACCCGCACAAGCGGUGGAUGAUGUGGAUUAAUUCGAUGCAACGCGAAAAACCUUACCUACCCUUGACAUGUCUGGAAUCCCGAAGAGAUUUGGGGAUGCCGCAAGAGAACCUGGAACACAGGUGCUGCAUGGCUGUCGUCAGCUCGUGUCGAGAUGUUGGUUAAGUCCCAACGAGCGCAACCCUUGCUGCUGGUUGCUACGAAAGGGCACUCUAAUGAGACUGCCGGUGACAAACCGGAGGAAGGUGGAUGUCAAGUCCUCAUGGCCUGGCGGUAGGGCUUGCCACGUCAGUACAAUGGUCGGGACAGAGGGUCGCUAACCCGCGGAGGGGAGCCAAUCCCAGAAACCCGAUCGUAGUCCGGAUCGCAGUCUGCAACUCGACUGCGUGAAGUCGGAAUCGCUAGUAAUCGCGGAUCAGCAUGUCGCGGUGAAUACGUUCCCGGCUCCCAUACCGCCCGUCACACCAUGGGAGUGGGUUUUAACAGAAGUAGUUAGCCUAACCGUAAGGAGGGCGAUUACUACGGUAGGAUCUGAGGACUGGGUGAAGUCGUAACAAGGUAG
RNAcentral lists this ribosomal RNA (1445 nucleotides) under uncultured Bordetella sp. RNAcentral's name for it is "partial 16S-23S ribosomal RNA intergenic spacer". It matches the Rfam family "Bacterial small subunit ribosomal RNA". Lineage: Bacteria; Pseudomonadati; Pseudomonadota; Betaproteobacteria; Burkholderiales; Alcaligenaceae. The record is from RNAcentral.